This 282-nucleotide long non-coding RNA is filed under the name Mytilus galloprovincialis (Mediterranean mussel). Lineage: Eukaryota; Metazoa; Mollusca; Bivalvia; Mytilida; Mytilidae. The record is from RNAcentral.
UCCCCUUUUACUUUCUCAAUAAAUUCAGUUUCCCUCAAAAGACUGUUAUUAAAUUUCCAUGUACCCUCCCCUCUUAUCUGACUAGAAAACCUUAAAUUAAUCAAUACAGGAGAAUGAUCCGAUCUAUAACUUAUCCCUAUAUCUGAUGAAACUACAAAUGCUUCUAUAUCCGAGGUAAUCAUGAAGUAGUCCAAACGACUUUGUUUGUGAUUUGGACCCCGCCAUGAGCACCUCUUAUCAAAAGGGUGCUGAUGGCGCCAUAUAUCUAAUAAAUCUAGUUCA